RNAcentral lists this ribosomal RNA (206 nucleotides) under Klebsiella pneumoniae. RNAcentral's name for it is "partial 23S ribosomal RNA". It matches the Rfam family "Bacterial large subunit ribosomal RNA", at positions 2110 to 2315 of the family's 2925-position model. The record is from RNAcentral. Lineage: Bacteria; Pseudomonadati; Pseudomonadota; Gammaproteobacteria; Enterobacterales; Enterobacteriaceae.
AAAGACACUGAACAUUGAGCCUUGAUGUGUAGGAUAGGUGGGAGGCUUUGAAGCGUGGACGCCAGUCUGCGUGGAGCCGACCUUGAAAUACCACCCUUUAAUGUUUGAUGUUCUAACGUUGGCCCCUUACCGGGGUUGCGGACAGUGUCUGGUGGGUAGUUUGACUGGGGCGGUCUCCUCCCAAAGCGUAACGGAGGAGCACGAAG